AUAGCGUACGCUCAACCUCCGCAACAGGACAAGUCUUCGAAACGGGGCGUUGUGGCGGUCGACGUCGAAACACCAUCCGAUCACAUUAAAACCAAUAAGGUCUCACUUUCAUUUCGCCUUUGGGUUUCGUAUCCCCAUUGACUCGCGUAUACUAUAAACUCCUUGGUCUUUGUUUCAAUACGGGUCAAAUGGGUCAUUGACUAUAUUCGAGAAAAGGCUUGAGUACACCCGUACGCCGGGUAAACCCCUAAGCGCCGCACGCAUGAUUACAACAAGAACCGGCCCAAUCCACAUACAAGCACGAAAAAAACCCGCAAUUCCACGGAACCGGGCACCGGUACCAAACUCCAAGGGACAAGGUUUCGGGACCGAAGUUAUGUCCUCUUGAUCAAUUUCAAUCGACACCAGCACACGACUCGGCGAACUCCGCACGCAAAUGCACUAUCUGAGACCCCAACCAUACCAAACGGAAAGCCUUGCGUAAUACCACGCCCGGCAGUAACCACCGCCGACGACGGAAUACGUCCCGAAUACGUCAACUCCGGAUGCUU
Molecule: ribosomal RNA, 551 nt
Filed under: Bursaphelenchus sp. Ap043
Lineage: Eukaryota; Metazoa; Nematoda; Chromadorea; Rhabditida; Aphelenchoididae
Description: partial 28S ribosomal RNA
Source: RNAcentral